CAUUUAAGACAGCUCUGUCGGCGGAGCAUGAGACUAUUAAUCUCAGGGUUGUGGGUUCAAGCCCCACCUUGGUGG
This is a non-coding RNA of Podarcis lilfordi (Lilford's wall lizard), 75 nucleotides long. The record is from the annotation of a GenBank genome assembly. NCBI's taxonomy places the organism in Eukaryota, Metazoa, Chordata, Lepidosauria, Squamata, Lacertidae.